This 99-nucleotide small RNA is filed under the name Enterobacter cloacae. RNAcentral describes it as "Enterobacteria rnk leader". It matches the Rfam family "Enterobacteria rnk leader", at positions 15 to 108 of the family's 109-position model. Lineage: Bacteria; Pseudomonadati; Pseudomonadota; Gammaproteobacteria; Enterobacterales; Enterobacteriaceae. The record is from RNAcentral.
CGCAUGAAUGUGACGCUCAUCACUUCAAACUUACCGGUUCAGACAGUAUCAUCAGACACGUUAAACCCUCGCUGCCAGACGGCGAGGGUUUUCUUUUGG